GCUGGGCACAGUGGCACGUGCCUGUAGUCCCAGCUACUCAGUGGCUGAGGUGGGAGGAUCGCUUGAGUCCAGGAGUUCUGGGCUGUAGUGCACUAAGCCGAUCGGGCAUCUGCACUGUUUGGCAUCAAUAUGGUGACCUCCCCGGAGCGGGUACCACCAGGUUGCCUAAGGAGGGGUGAACCGUCCAGGUUGGAAACGGAGCAGGUCAAAACUCCUGUGCUGAUCAGUAGUAGGAUCGCACCUGUGAAUAGCCACUGCACUCCAGCCUGGGCAACAUAGCAAGACCCCAUCUCU
This 294-nucleotide signal recognition particle RNA is filed under the name Cebus imitator (Panamanian white-faced capuchin). RNAcentral's name for it is "Metazoan signal recognition particle RNA (ENSCCAG00000003020.1)". It matches the Rfam family "Metazoan signal recognition particle RNA". From Rfam's summary of the family: The signal recognition particle (SRP) is a universally conserved ribonucleoprotein. It is involved in the co-translational targeting of proteins to membranes. The record is from RNAcentral. Lineage: Eukaryota; Metazoa; Chordata; Mammalia; Primates; Cebidae.